UCCCUCUUAGCUCAGUUGGUAGAGCGCGUCACUAGUAUGAGGUUCUUGAUCAAGGGAAUUUGAUGACGAGGUCAGUCGUUCAAGUCGGCUAGAGGGAA
Dendrothele bispora CBS 962.96 is the source of this 98-nucleotide non-coding RNA. NCBI's taxonomy places the organism in Eukaryota, Fungi, Basidiomycota, Agaricomycetes, Agaricales. The record is from the annotation of a GenBank genome assembly.